ACGCUCGACACCUACGGGAGACAGCAGUAGGGAAUCUUCCACAAUGGGGGAAACCCUGAUGCAGCGACGCCGCGUGGAGGAAGAAGGUCUUCGGAUUGUAAACUCCUGUUGUUGGGGAAAAAGAGGAUGGUACCCAACAAGGAAGUGACGGCUAACUACGUGCCAGCAGCCGCGGUAAUCUGAGCGGGCUGGACAAGGC
RNAcentral lists this ribosomal RNA (199 nucleotides) under uncultured bacterium. Its description in RNAcentral is "partial 16S ribosomal RNA". It matches the Rfam family "Bacterial small subunit ribosomal RNA", at positions 328 to 539 of the family's 1533-position model. The record is from RNAcentral.